RNAcentral lists this ribosomal RNA (464 nucleotides) under Vreelandella stevensii. RNAcentral describes it as "partial 16S ribosomal RNA". It matches the Rfam family "Bacterial small subunit ribosomal RNA", at positions 338 to 795 of the family's 1533-position model. Lineage: Bacteria; Pseudomonadati; Pseudomonadota; Gammaproteobacteria; Oceanospirillales; Halomonadaceae. The record is from RNAcentral.
CCUACGGUGGCAGCAGUGGGGAAUAUUGGCCAAUGGGCGAAAGCCUGAUCCAGCCAUGCCGCGUGUGUGAAGAAGGCCUUCGGGUUGUAAAGCACUUUCAGUGGGGAAGAAAGCCUUGGGGCUAAUACCCUCGAGGAAGGACAUCACCCACAGAAGAAGCACCGGCUAACUCCGUGCCAGCAGCCGCGGUAAUACGGAGGGUGCGAGCGUUAAUCGGAAUUACUGGGCGUAAAGCGCGCGUAGGCGGUCUGAUAAGCCGGUUGUGAAAGCCCCGGGCUCAACCUGGGAACGGCAUCCGGAACUGUCAGGCUAGAGUGCAGGAGAGGAAGGUAGAAUUCCCGGUGUAGCGGUGAAAUGCGUAGAGAUCGGGAGGAAUACCAGUGGCGAAGGCGGCCUUCUGGACUGACACUGACGCUGAGGUGCGAAAGCGUGGGUAGCAAACAGGAUUAGAUACCCCAGUAGUC